Molecule: ribosomal RNA, 1532 nt
Rfam family: Bacterial small subunit ribosomal RNA
Source: Rfam
ACAAUGGAGAGUUUGAUCCUGGCUCAGGAUGAACGCUAGCUACAGGCCUAACACAUGCAAGUCGUGGGGCAGCGGGUAUGCUUGUUUUCAAGUAUAUGCCGGCGACCGGCGCACGGGUGAGUAACGCGUAUCCAACCUGCCCAUCACAAGGGAAUAACCCGUCGAAAGUCGGCCUAAUGCCCUAUGUAUUCUGAUGAAGUCCUCUGAAUCGGAAUAAAGCAUUUGCGGUGAUGGAUGGGGAUGCGUCUGAUUAGCUUGUCGGCGGGGUAACGGCCCACCGAGGCGACGAUCAGUAGGGGUUCUGAGAGGAAGGUCCCCCACAUUGGAACUGAGACACGGUCCAAACUCCUACGGGAGGCAGCAGUGAGGAAUAUUGGUCAAUGGGCGUGAGCCUGAACCAGCCAAGUAGCGUGCAGGAUGACGGCCCUAUGGGUUGUAAACUGCUUUUAUACGGGGAUAAAAGGGUGAACGUGUUCUCCUUUGCAGGUACCGUAUGAAUAAGGACCGGCUAAUUCCGUGCCAGCAGCCGCGGUAAUACGGAAGGUCCUGGCGUUAUCCGGAUUUAUUGGGUUUAAAGGGAGCGCAGGCUGCACUUUAAGCGUGUUGUGAAAUGUACCGGCUCAACCGGUAACGUGCAGCGCGAACUGGGGUGCUUGAGUACGAAGAGGGAAGGCGGAACUCGUGGUGUAGCGGUGAAAUGCUUAGAUAUCACGAGGAACUCCGAUCGCGAAGGCAGCUUUCCGUUUCGGGACUGACGCUGAGGCUCGAAAGUGCGGGUAUCGAACAGGAUUAGAUACCCUGGUAGUCCGCACGGUAAACGAUGGAUGCUCGCUGUUGGAUAUUUUUAUUCAGUGGCUAAGUGAAAACGUUAAGCAUCCCACCUGGGGAGUACGCCGGCAACGGUGAAACUCAAAGGAAUUGACGGGGGCCCGCACAAGCGGAGGAACAUGUGGUUUAAUUCGAUGAUACGCGAGGAACCUUACCCGGGCUUGAAUUGCAGCUGAACGAUCCAGAGAUGGUGAGGCCCUUCGGGGCAGCUGUGAAGGUGCUGCAUGGUUGUCGUCAGCUCGUGCCGUGAGGUGUCGGCUUAAGUGCCAUAACGAGCGCAACCCCUCUCCGCAGUUGCCAUCGGUUGAUGCCGGGCACUCUGCGGACACUGCCUCCGCAAGGAGUGAGGAAGGUGGGGAUGACGUCAAAUCAGCACGGCCCUUACGUCCGGGGCUACACACGUGUUACAAUGGCGCGUACAGAGUGUCGGUGCUGUGCAAACAGUAUCUAAUCAAUAAAACGCGUCCCAGUUCGGACCGGGGUCUGCAACCCGACCCCGCGAAGCUGGAUUCGCUAGUAAUCGCGCAUCAGCCAUGGCGCGGUGAAUACGUUCCCGGGCCUUGUACACACCGCCCGUCAAGCCAUGAAAGCCGGGGGCGCCUGAAGUCCGUGACCGCAAGGAUCGGCCUAGGGCGAGACCGGUGAUUGGGGCUAAGUCGUAACAAGGUAGCCGUACCGGAAGGUGCGGCUGGAACACCUCCUUU